RNAcentral lists this unclassified non-coding RNA (3603 nucleotides) under Hevea brasiliensis (rubber tree). Lineage: Eukaryota; Viridiplantae; Streptophyta; Magnoliopsida; Malpighiales; Euphorbiaceae. The record is from RNAcentral.
UAUGUGUGUGUGUGUGUAUUUUGUGAUGUGGUUUAUGUGUUUUAUUUUACUUAUGCCACUAUGAUGCUCUUUCCCUUUAAUAAUGUCCACUAUAGCCCUCACAUGGAAUCUUGAAGAUUUGAUUCCUCCAAGCGAGAAGCUCAUUUUUAGUUUCAAUUCGAAGGAAGAGCUGAAAAAGUGGCAUCUAUAUUCAGAUUCUGAGUAUGGAGGUGUGUAUAUUUUUAAUUUAAGUGUCUCUUUUGCUUGAUUAUUCAUCAAUGUAAGAAACAAACAAGAAAAGCAAGAAAAUUUUCCAUAUUAUAUGGAAUUUGAAAAUUAGUGGAAAUAUACUGUUUGAUUUUCUGUAGCUUCUCUUUAGUUACAUUUGUUUUUUAAUUAUUAUGGUCAGUUCAAUGCCAUGUAGCAGUAAAUUGCCAAGGAAAUGAUAAAUGCAAUGAAUAAAUUGUUAAGCAUAUUUUAUCCAAGAAAAGCAAAUAAUUGCUAAGCAUACGGUAAUAUUUUCCCAGAGACUAAUAUAGUGUUCAAUGUUUGGUAAUUUCUUCUAUUCAUUUAGGUUUGUCCUCAGCUUCUUUGGAGAUCACAGAUGCUGGAAAUGGACUAAAGGGAGUUUUCUCUGGAAAUCUAUCAUUGGAGGUAUCUGAGGGCUCAAAGUGGAAUAUAACUCGAAGCGGUUUCUGCGGAAUGCGAUCCAAGAAGGUGAACAGUAUUUUCAAAAACUAAUAGGUUACACCAAUCAAGAGUCACUUCGGAAAGUAUCAUUUCAUAAUUCAUGGGAUGUCAAUUUUGCUAUUACUGUUUGAAGUAAAUGCAGAAGAAAUUUGCUGAUAUUGCCGUCUACGAGAUGCCCAUUUUUCUUUACUCUGUAUCCUCUGCAGUUUGAUGGUUUUAUUGAUUUAGACGCAUAUGAUACAAUAGCUCUAAAGCUUAAAGGUGACGGAAGAUGCUACAUAUCUACUGUGAGUUUUUCAUUUGUUCACUCAUGUAAUGAAACAAAGGGAAUCGAAUGGAGCUUGUAUUCCCAUUGCUAACCUCUUAAUGGUUGCUAAAGUUUUAUACUAAACCUUCAUCUAAUUCUGAUGUUGCAGAUUUAUACAGAGAAUUGGGUAAAUUCACCAGGCCAACUGGAAGAUAAUUCAUGGCAAUCUUUUGUUUUUGUACCCGAAGACAACUGGUAUAUUGCAAAGAUUCCUCUUUCUCGAUAUUUGCCAACAUGGAGAGGAAAUGUUAUAGAUGCAAAGCUGGAAAUGAAUCAAUCUCGCAUUCUCGGCAUGUCCCUAUCUGUUAAUGCAGAAGGUGGCAUCCCAGGUACCAGGUCAGGAGCAGGUGAUUUCAAAGUUGAAAUUGAUUGGAUCAAAGCCUUAAGAACACGGUGAGUCACUGUAAACCUUUUCUGAGAAUUUUGAAAAAUGUUUAUGUGGCGUCUCUUUGUAUCUCUUUUCUCCCACUUUUUGGUAUGAUGUAUUAUUUACAUGUUAUUACACAAUAAGACGCUGAUUUCAUAAUUGUGAUGACAGUCAUGUAGAAUCUUUUGAUUUAGAUAAGAUGCUUAGUUAUUACUGGCACUCAACUUCCUGAUAUGUGUCGGAUCCUUCACGUUUAGAGUAGUGUUUUCAUUUUCUACAUUUUUCCCUCUGCUCUCUUACGAAACUUAGCUCCUACAAAAAGGGCUUAAAUUGUAGCUAUAUUCCAGCAUUUGGAUAAACAAUCUUUGGAUUACUUUGCCCAAUGCAACAUUGAGGUCUUUUUUGGGGCCCCCCCACUGCUACCAUGAAAUGCCUACAAAGGUGUUCCAACCGUGUUUGGAGCCCCAGAGUCAUUAACAAGCAGCCUCGUGUUCUUAAAUAUCCUGCCAACAUCAAAGAUUAGACUACUCUAAUCAGGUCAAGUCCUUGUCCUUACUUCUGGAAAUUUUGAUGUAUUAGUACAAUAUCUUCGAGCUAAAACGUCAUUUUCUAGCUAAAACGUCAUUUUCUAGCUAAUGUGUCGUUCAGAUGCCCUCAUCUUUUAGAUAUGUCUAAUUUUGCCUUGAUCAAAACUUCCAAAGACUACCAGUCUCUUACAUUGUUGCCCCCUUGUUUAAAUUCUAGUUCUGCCAUUAGAUUCAACGAAACUACAAACUUUUGGAGCUUUGGAAGUUUAUAUUGAAUGGCAGAGAUAUAAUGUGAAUCUAGUUGCAAUUUUUGCUGUAAAUGAUUUGGAUUAGAGCUGAUCAUUGGGCGGGCCAGGUCGAGUUAAGGCCCAGCCCACCAAUGGUUCUGUGUUUGCCCUUGUAUAAAGACAGUGUAAAUUUGUAAGAAGUAAGAAAAAUCCCAAUCAUUGCCAUGGUUGAAAAUAUUUUCCUAAGUGGGGUUUUAUCAUGUAACAGCCAGCCUGUGGUUGGACCUACAAUGACUCUUUGUUUCUUGAAACAAAAUUUUGGAAAUACAUUUGUAGGGCGACAUGAAAAGGACCUUUCAUGUUGUGCACUUAAUCAAUCAAAAGCCUUUCUUUUCUUUUUCCUGGAAGGACUUGGCUACACUUAUUUUUAUUGUUUUAUAUUUGAAAAAUGAAUAAUUGUCACGUAUUCCAAGUGUUCUGCACUAAUACAUUUAUUGAUUUAGUGCACAAUGAGACUGGCCAAGUACUUUCUUUUUUUCCGUGUGCCAGUCAAAACUACUGCGAAAUAGCUGGAUGCUACAAAGCCCACUACCAUAUUUCAAUAUUCAACCUUACAAAGGUUGAAAUGCCAAUUCUCCCAAUUGUUUUCCUUUCAUAGUUUAAAUAUUUAUGCUUUAGAACAAUGCAGGUGAAGUGCAAGUUGUGCUUAUGCUCUUUUUGAUCACAUCCAAGUGGGAAAAAAAAAAAGAUUUUGAAUGGUAACUUGCACCAAAUCCCCCCCAAAAAACAAAAAAAAUAAAUAAAGAAACCCUUGGACUGCAGUGUUAAUAUAUUUCUUGCAUGAGAGAUAUAUCUUGUGAGCCUGUACUGUUAACAUAUUUCUUUUGCAGCUAAUUUACAGCUUAAACGCUUUAAUUUGAGCUUCAGUCUGUCAAAAAAGUACAAGCUAUAUACAUGGAAAGGUCAAAAACCAAAGAAGAGAGAAAAGGAAAGCAGGAGCAAGUGCUGGGCGUUGUCUGUCAGCUGACGUUAUUGCUUUUGUUGUUGCUUAGUUAAAUCCUACUUGGAUGGAUUUGAUUUUUAAUGGUUUGUCACUAGGUGAGAAUUGGGGCCACUAGAACAAAUAGAGGGGACCCACGAACUUCUUGGUUUGGAAAAUUGAUGGCUGACGUGGACAAAUAGUUUCCAAACAGACACUUUCUCUAUCUCAAUCAUUUCUUUCUCUCUCUCACAUGGACAUACUUGUUGAAGUUGAGCUACUGGCCUGCAAUAGCUGACCAGAUGACCCCAAAAUCACUCGCGGAGAAUCUCCAGGCUCUUCAGGCUCUUGCUAUCUUAUAUUUGCUGCUGCCCUGAUUUAUAAUGCCACCGCCCUUUAUCUUUCUUUGCUUAAAACCACUUGUGGUUCACUGUGUCCAAUAUUCUUCAUCGUAAUAAUCAUCAAAUUUGGAUAUUAGUAUCAUCUCAUUUUUUUAACUUAUUCAUCUUAUAUAAACUCCAAUGACA